Suncus etruscus (white-toothed pygmy shrew) is the source of this 104-nucleotide small nuclear RNA. NCBI's taxonomy places the organism in Eukaryota, Metazoa, Chordata, Mammalia, Eulipotyphla, Soricidae. The record is from RefSeq and is a predicted model, not a curated record.
GUGUUAGCUAUGGCAGCACAGAUACUAAAACUAAAACAAUACAAAGAUAAGCAUGGACCCAGCCCAAGAAUGACAUGCAAAUUUAUGAAGCAUCCCAUACUUUG